GUAGCACUUUGUCCUGCUUAACUGACCUAAAGUGACUCAUGUGUGGCCAAGGGGGGAGCAAGCUCUGAGUCACUGUCAAAACGGCAGGGCUGGGAUGUGAAACCUGGUCUCCAACACGGUUGCUUUUACUUCAGUGUAAUCAACUCUCCAACUUUAUACCAAAUAAGGGCACAGGGAAUUACAUAAUAGCCUAUGAUGGAAAAGAAUGAAAGCCUAAUCUACAUAUGUCUUAAUCACUUUGCCGUCCCCCCAAAACAACAUUGUUCAUCAACUGUGGUUAAAAAAAUGAACUGCCCAGUCAGGUCGGCAGCAGACCAGCCCCCGCCAUGAUGAUCUCUUGGGCCUGAGCAAGUACUGUCUGAACUGGUGCUGAGUUUCAGCAUCUUCUGGAGAAGCUGGAAGACUCCCUGGAAGCACAGACUUCGCUGGAAAGCAAAGCAGUUAGGAAAGGCUGGGGAUUGUUCCUGGUGCCGAACAAGCUAAUGGAGGAAGAAGGUCUGUUUUCCUGACAAAUGGGGACAAUGAAGAGCAACCACCGAAGAUGCAAGUAUAUGGAACUGGAAAUGAGUGUGCUUUUACCGCCACCUAGUGAACAAAUGCAGUAUUGCAUACAGGAUAUUUGCAUAUCCAGUGCUUGGAAUACUUCUUUUCUUGUUUGGCCUUGCUGCUGCCUGUGGACCUUCUGGGGCCUGGGAUGGAAUGCGUGCCACAGCAGUGACAGCGCUGGAUCCUUAACCCGCUGAUCCAUUAAGGAACUCCUCGGAAUACUUAAAAUACACUCGUUCGUUCAACAAACAUUUAGUUUUAUUGCUGAGUAGUAGUCCAUUAUAUGGAUAUUAUAAUUGGAGUUAUUUCCCAUUUUUGGUAAAAAUGAAUAAAGCUGCUAUAAACAUUUA
This is a long non-coding RNA of Phacochoerus africanus (Common warthog), 896 nucleotides long. RefSeq lists it as uncharacterized. The transcript has 2 exons. The record is from RefSeq and is a predicted model, not a curated record. Lineage: Eukaryota; Metazoa; Chordata; Mammalia; Artiodactyla; Suidae.